RNAcentral lists this ribosomal RNA (506 nucleotides) under uncultured bacterium. RNAcentral describes it as "partial 16S ribosomal RNA". It matches the Rfam family "Bacterial small subunit ribosomal RNA", at positions 29 to 523 of the family's 1533-position model. The record is from RNAcentral.
AGUGAACGCUGGCGGUAGGCCUAACACAUGCAAGUCGAACGGCAGCACAGAGGAGCUUGCUCCUUGGGUGGCGAGUGGCGGACGGGUGAGGAAUACAUCGGAAUCUACUCUGUCGUGGGGGAUAACGUAGGGAAACUUACGCUAAUACCGCAUACGACCUACGGGUGAAAGCAGGGGACCUUCGGGCCUUGCGCGAUUGAAUGAGCCGAUGUCGGAUUAGCUAGUUGGCGGGGUAAAGGCUCACCAAGGCGAAGAUCCGUAGCUGGACUGAGAGGAUGAUCAGCCACACUGGAACUGACACACGGUCCAGACUCCUACGGGAGGCAGCAGUGGGGAAUAUUGGACAAUGGGCGCAAGCCUGAUACAGCCAUACCGCGUGGGUGAAGAAGGCCUUCGGGUCGUAAAGCCCUUUUGUUGGGAAAGAAAUCCAGCUGGCUAAUACCCGGUUGGGAUGACGGUACCCAAAGAAUAAGCACCGGCUAACUUCGUGCCAGCCGCCGCAGUAA